CCUACGGGAGGCAGCAGUGAGGAAUAUUGGUCAAUGGGCGAGAGCCUGAACCAGCCAAGUCGCGUGAGGGAGUACUGCCCUAUGGGUUGUAAACCUCUUUUGUCGGGGAGCAAAAGCCGGACGUGUCCGGCUGUGAGAGUACCCGCCGAAAACGCAUCGGCUAACUCCGUGCCAGCAGCCGCGGUAUUACGGAGGAUGCGAGCGUUAUCCGGAUUUAUUGGGGUUAAAGGGUGCGCAGGCGGAGUUGUAAGUCAUCGGUCAAAUCGUGGGGCUAAACCCCAUCCAGCCGUUGAAACUGGGGAUCUAGAGUGUGCGAGAGGUAUGCGGAAUGCGUGGUGUAGCGGUGAAAUGCAUAGAUAUCACGCAGAACCCCGAUUGCGAAGGCAGCAUACCGGUGCACAACUGACGCUCAGGCACGAAAGCGUGGGUAUCGAACAGGAUUAGAUACCCUUGUAGUC
Molecule: ribosomal RNA, 458 nt
Filed under: uncultured bacterium
Lineage: Bacteria
Description: partial 16S ribosomal RNA
Rfam family: Bacterial small subunit ribosomal RNA
Source: RNAcentral